CCUACAUUGCGCAUGGGCGAUGCCUGAUCCAGCAUGCCGCGUGAGUGAUGAAGGCCUUCGGGUUGUAAAGCUCUUUUACCCGGGAUGAUAAUGACGGUACCGGGAGAAUAAGCCCCGGCUAACUCCGUGCCAGCAGCCGCGGUUAUUAUAUAUA
Molecule: ribosomal RNA, 154 nt
Filed under: uncultured bacterium
Lineage: Bacteria
Description: partial 16S ribosomal RNA
Rfam family: Bacterial small subunit ribosomal RNA
Source: RNAcentral